UACGGAGGGUGCAAGCGUUGCUCGGAAUUAUUGGGCGUAAAGGGUAGGUAGGUGGUCUCAUUUGUCAGGGGUGAAAGCCUUGGGCUCAACCCAAGAAGUGCCCCUGAAACGGUGAGACUAGAGUCCUAGAGAGGUGAGUGGAAUUCCCGGUGUAGCGGUGAAAUGCGUAGAGAUCGGGAGGAACACCAGAGGCGAAGGCGGCUCACUGGAUAGGCACUGACACUCAACUACGAAAGCGUGGGGAGCAAACAG
This 252-nucleotide ribosomal RNA is filed under the name uncultured bacterium. RNAcentral's name for it is "partial 16S ribosomal RNA". It matches the Rfam family "Bacterial small subunit ribosomal RNA", at positions 524 to 775 of the family's 1533-position model. The record is from RNAcentral.